UACGGAGGAUCCGAGCGUUAUCCGGAUUUAUUGGGUUUAAAGGGUGCGCAGGCGGGAGAUUAAGUCGGCGGUGAAAUUUUGCAGCUCAACUGUAAAAGUGCCUUCGAAACUGGUUUUCUUGAGUGCGUAAGAGGCAGGCGGAAUUCGUUGUGUAGCGGUGAAAUGCUUAGAUAUGACGAGGAACUCCUAUUGCGAAGGCAGCUUGCUGGGUCGUUACUGACGCUGAUGCUCGAAGGUGCGGGGAUCAAACAGGAUUAGAUACCCCCGUAGU
This 271-nucleotide ribosomal RNA is filed under the name uncultured prokaryote. RNAcentral describes it as "partial 16S ribosomal RNA". It matches the Rfam family "Bacterial small subunit ribosomal RNA", at positions 524 to 794 of the family's 1533-position model. The record is from RNAcentral.